AGAACGAACGCUGGCGGCAGGCUUAACACAUGCAAGUCGAACGCCCCGCAAGGGGAGUGGCAGACGGGUGAGUAACGCGUGGGAAUCUACCCAGUUCUACGGAAUAACACAGGGAAACUUGUGCUAAUACCGUAUACGCCCUACGGGGGAAAGAUUUAUCGGGAUUGGAUGAGCCCGCGUUGGAUUAGCUAGUUGGUGGGGUAAUGGCCUACCAAGGCGACGAUCCAUAGCUGGUCUGAGAGGAUGAUCAGCCACACUGGGACUGAGACACGGCCCAGACUCCUACGGGAGGCAGCAGUGGGGAAUAUUGGACAAUGGGCGCAAGCCUGAUCCAGCCAUGCCGCGUGAGUGAUGAAGGCCUUAGGGUUGUAAAGCUCUUUCAGUGGGAAGAUAAUGACGGUACCCACAGAAGAAGCCCCGGCUAACUUCGUGCCAGCAGCCGC
Molecule: ribosomal RNA, 443 nt
Filed under: uncultured bacterium
Lineage: Bacteria
Description: SSU rRNA
Rfam family: Bacterial small subunit ribosomal RNA
Source: RNAcentral